CUCACUUUGGUAUUUGGUUCUCUCUUUUGCUUUUUUAUUUUUUAUUUUUUUUUCUCUAAUUAAGUGGAUCUCUUCUGAUCAACGUUUCUGUAAAGGUGUUCCUUUGAGGGAAUCUUAAAUAGAGAAAAUCACUUCAAAAUUCUAAUCGUAAAGAACCUUGCAAAAACAUCUAGAAUAACCUACUAUUGCCUGUAAUUAAUUUUCCUUAAGCUACAGUACUACGCACUUCUCUAUCUGCAGUUACAAAUUUUGUGUAUAAAAGAGAAGCAAGCUCCUAAUUUCUUUGAUUUGUACGCAACCAGCGCCAGAAAAAAAUACACGUACACUAUUCGGAGCCCUAGCUCCAGCGCAAGCAGGAGGCCAGGAAUAACUUAACCCUAUUCGGCAGGAACACAUGGACGAAGGAGAAGUACCCUUCCCUACAGAUGUAUACAAAGAGCGCCCGCGCCCGCCUGAGCGCCCAUGUGGCUGCUCCAUAUUGUAAGUACUCAAGCACUUGAGAUCGAUCUAAUGGUGGAUGUGACGUCGUAGCUGUUGUUGUACUAGAGGCGGUUAUAUAUGUCGUCAUGUUUGUUUUAUGGAAAAUAAAAUGUAAAAGUAUUUGUAAAAACUCUGUUUGCUGCUGCAUGUAUUAAGACUUCUGAUGCCAAGAAGAUGCAGAGAGAGUAGAAAACUUGUAUUCCUCAAAGUUAUGUUUAUAUGAAAUAAGAGUGUUGCUUUUAUAUCAA
Long non-coding RNA from Carya illinoinensis, 728 nucleotides. RefSeq lists it as uncharacterized. The transcript has 2 exons. The record is from RefSeq and is a predicted model, not a curated record. Lineage: Eukaryota; Viridiplantae; Streptophyta; Magnoliopsida; Fagales; Juglandaceae.